CUACGGGUUGCUGCAGUGGGGAAUAUUGCACAAUGGGCGCAAGCCUGAUGCAGCCAUGCCGCGUGUAUGAAGAAGGCCUUCGGGUUGUAAAGUACUUUCAGCCGGGAGGAAGGGAGUAAAGUUAAUACCUUUGCUCAUUGACGUUACCCGCAGAAGAAGCACCGGCGAACUCCGUGCCAGCAGUCGCGGUAAUACGGAGGGUGCAAGCGUUAAUCGGAAUUACUGGGCGUAAAGCGCACGCAGGCGGUUUGUUAAGUCAGAUGUGAAAUCCCCGGGCUCAACCUGGGAACUGCAUCUGAUACUGGCAAGCUUGAGUCUCGUAGAGGGGGGUAGAAUUCCAGGUGUAGCGGUGAAAUGCGUAGAGAUCUGGAGGAAUACCGGUGGCGAAGGCGGCCCCCUGGACGAAGACUGAUGCUCAGGUGCGAAAGCGUGGGGAGCAAACAGGAUUAGAUACCCUCGUAGUC
RNAcentral lists this ribosomal RNA (464 nucleotides) under uncultured bacterium. Its description in RNAcentral is "partial 16S ribosomal RNA". It matches the Rfam family "Bacterial small subunit ribosomal RNA", at positions 339 to 795 of the family's 1533-position model. The record is from RNAcentral.